This 393-nucleotide ribosomal RNA is filed under the name uncultured bacterium. Its description in RNAcentral is "partial 16S ribosomal RNA". It matches the Rfam family "Bacterial small subunit ribosomal RNA", at positions 523 to 918 of the family's 1533-position model. The record is from RNAcentral.
AUACGGAGGAUCCGAGCGUUAUCCGGAUUUAUUGGGUUUAAAGGGAGCGCAGGCGGAUUAUUAAGUCAGUUGUGAAAGUUUGCGGCUCAACCGUAAAAUUGCAGUUGAUACUGGUAGUCUUGAGUGCAGCAGAGGUAGGCGGAAUUCGUGGUGUAGCGGUGAAAUGCUUAGAUAUCACGAAGAACUCCGAUUGCGAAGGCAGCUUACUGGACUGUAACUGACGCUGAUGCUCGAAAGUGUGGGUAUCAAACAGGAUUAGAUACCCUGGUAGUCCACACAGUAAACGAUGAAUACUCGCUGUUUGCGAUAUACAGCAAGCGGCCAAGCGAAAGCAUUAAGUAUUCCACCUGGGGAGUACGCCGGCAACGGUGAAACUCAAAUGAAUUGACGGGG